RNAcentral lists this ribosomal RNA (465 nucleotides) under uncultured bacterium. RNAcentral describes it as "partial 16S ribosomal RNA". It matches the Rfam family "Bacterial small subunit ribosomal RNA", at positions 28 to 507 of the family's 1533-position model. The record is from RNAcentral.
GACGAACGCUGGCGGCGUGCUUAACACAUGCAAGUCGUACGGUAAGGCCCUUUCGGGGGUACCCGAGUGGCGAACGGGUGAGUAACACGUGAGUAACCUGCCCACAACUUUGGGAUAACGCUAGGAAACUGGGGCUAAUACUGGAUAUGUGCUCCUGCUGCAUGGUGGGGGUUGGAAAGCUCCGGCGGUUGUGGACGGACUCGCGGCCUAUCAGCUUGUUGGUGGGGUAGUGGCCUACCAAGGCGGCGACGGGUAGCCGGCCUGAGAGGGUGACCGGCCACAUUGGGACUGAGAUACGGCCCAGACUCCUACGGGAGGCAGCAGUGGGGAAUAUUGCACAAUGGGCGCAAGCCUGAUGCAGCAACGCCGCGUGCGGGAUGACGGCCUUCGGGUUGUAAACCGCUUUCAGCAGGGACGAAGCUUUUUGUGACGGUACCUGCAGAAGAAGCACCGGCUAACUACGUG